Molecule: RNA transcript, 1805 nt
Organism: Ahaetulla prasina
Lineage: Eukaryota; Metazoa; Chordata; Lepidosauria; Squamata; Colubridae
Gene: GRSF1
Gene name: G-rich RNA sequence binding factor 1
Exons: 11
Source: RefSeq, a predicted model, not a curated record
CUCUCUCCCCCUCCCCUCCCCGGCGGAAGGCCCUGGCGCGCGCGCGUGCGCCGGAAGGCCUAGCUCGGCCGGGGUGGUUGCCACGACGUCGACGAAGCCUCGCUCUCCCAUGGCCGGGACUCGCUGGGUGCUGGGCGCGCUGCUCCGCGGCUGCGGCUGUCAUUACAGCACUUGCCGCCACACCGGCGCGGCUUGCCUGCCGCCGCUGAGGCCUACUUCCUCCACUCCGUCACCGGCGUCGCCCCCGGCCGGCGCUUUGGGCCUUUGGGGCCGCCGACGCCUCCUGCUCUUGCUCGGGGCAGCCACGCAGAGCCGCGGGGUCGCCAGCUCGGCCGGGCCGGUGCCCGGCUUCGGCUCUUGGCGGGGGUCCUUGCUAACCCCGCCUCUCGCGGGCCGAUGCUACAGCCAGGAUCCCGAGUCUUCUUAUCAAGAGGGAUAUCACUUUCCCCCAGAAUACGAAAUCUCUGCGGAAGAAGCAGAAGGGCAGAGGGAAGUGCAUCUGAUUCGGGCCCAAGGUUUGCCAUAUGACUGCACUGAGGAAGAUGUUCUCAACUUUUUUUCAGGGAGCAAGAUCCGAAACGGUGUGGAAGGCAUCCAUUUCCUCCUGUACAGAGAUGGCAAGCGCAGAGGAGAUGCGAUAGUUGAACUUGAAUCGGAACACGAUGUGAUGAACGCCUUGAACAAACACCGGAAAUACCUGGGCCAGCGCUAUGUGGAAGUUUUUGAAAUACGUAAUAAGGACGUUGAUACCCUAAUGAGGAGCCUGAAGUUCCGUUCAGCGCCUGGAAACAAUGACGGGGUGGUACGACUGCGAGGCCUGCCCUACCGUUGCACGGAAGUAGAUGUAACGGAGUUCUUUUCAGGUUUGACUAUACAGGACAUAGUAUUCGUCUUCGACCACGACGGAAGAAGGAAAACGGGAGAGGCAUUUGUACAGUUUGCCACACCGGAAAUGGCUAAUAAAGCUUUGUUGAAACAUAAGGAAGAAAUUGGGAACCGCUAUAUAGAAAUAUUCCCGAGCCAGAAAAGUGCAAUUCGAACACACAACGACUUUUUCCGGUAUAAGAAGAUGAUGGCGUCUACGGUGCCAAAACCGUGUUCUGAAAACAUUUUUGAAGAAAGCAAGUUGAGCGAGGUCUCGAAGCCCAGUCCGGUGUAUGAAAAUGAAACCAGAAGCAGUGAGCAGGCUUACAAGCAAGUAUUUGAAAAGACUCCGGAGGUGGCUGAAUCUGCAGGCUUCUCCGCCCCUUACUUUGUUCACCUGAGAGGAAUGCCUUUUCAAGCAACAGCGCAAGAUAUCAUCCAGUUUUUUGCUCCCUUAAAGCCUGUGAGGAUCACAAUGGAAUAUAAUUCAUGUGGCCAUGCGACCGGAGAAGCAGAUGUACAUUUUGAAACGCACACAGACGCAGUUGCCGCCAUGGCCAAGAACAACUUUCAAGUCCGAGGAGAGCUGGGAGGGCGGAGUUAAGCACAUCAUCAGUUUAGAGUCAUUGCAUUCCCACAAGUGCUCCAAGUCCCAACUCCUCCUGAACGCCGUUGACCCAUACAGAGCAUAGUUAUAUUGAAUUAUUUCUGAAUUCAUCACCAAGCAGAAAAUAGAGCAGCCUACGAUAGUGGUAUAAUUCCCAAAGUUUAGAUAAGCUAAGAUGCUUUUCAUCUGCACGUUCCCAGAGCCGGACUAUUAUUCCUGUCGCCCCCGAAUUGCCUUUCAAAGAAACUCCAGUGGCUGUGUCUGAAAUCCUUACAAAACGGUUGUGCGGGCUCUGUUUUACCUAAACCAACAUUAAAGUUGAACUCUACUUAAA